RNAcentral lists this ribosomal RNA (440 nucleotides) under uncultured bacterium. RNAcentral's name for it is "partial 16S ribosomal RNA". It matches the Rfam family "Bacterial small subunit ribosomal RNA", at positions 338 to 795 of the family's 1533-position model. The record is from RNAcentral.
CCUACGGGUGGCAGCAGUGGGGGAUAUUGCACAAUGGGGGAAACCCUGAUGCAGCGAAGCCGCGUGGGUGAAGAAGGGCUUCGGCGCGUAAAGCCCUGUCAGCAGGGAAGAAAAUGACGGUACCUGAAGCAGAAGCCCCGUCUAACUACGUGACAGAUGCCGUGGGAAUAUGUCGGGGGCAAGCGUUAUCCGGAUUUACUGGGUGUAAGGGGGGCGCAGACGGCGAUGCAAGCCAGGAGUGAAAGCCCGGGGCCCAACCCCGGGACUGCUCUUGGAACUGCGUGGCUAGAGUGCAGGAGGGGCAGGCGGAAUUCCUGGUGUAGCGGUGAAAUGCGUAGAUAUCAGGAGGAACACCGGUGGCGAAGGCGGCCUGCUGGACUGCAACUGACGUUGAGGCCCGAAAGCGUGGGGAGCAAACAGGAUUAGAUACCCCGGUAGUC